AUCUAGCUGAUGAGUCCCAAAAUAGGACGAAACAUAAGUCUUGCAU
Molecule: non-coding RNA, 46 nt
Filed under: Schistosoma mattheei
Lineage: Eukaryota; Metazoa; Platyhelminthes; Trematoda; Strigeidida; Schistosomatidae
Source: RNAcentral